CUGGAAUAAGAAUGCGACCGCCAAAGGGUUCAGCCUUGGGCAUUUCCAGGCCUCUCUUCUUCCUGUGUCUUCGGUCAGGACACCCCAAUCAGGGCACUUCCUCCACUUGUGUCUCUCGGGUAGACUGUCCUCCCGAACCUUCUGUAUCUCUCUAAAUCUCACACACCCUCCAGGCUCAGCUCAAGAUCCCUGCCUGAAGCUUUCUCCCAGUCUUCUAACUCAUUGACCCUCCCACUGGAACAACACUGAGACUUUCCAAGAGGGUGAGAAUGGUUUUCUAAAGCCAUCAAUCUUCACGUGUGUACUUUCUUCAAGAUGAUGUGCCUGUGAACGUGUCCCUGUCACGCUGCUUCUCAGAACUACUGCCCCCUUCAUACCCACCUUUAUAAGAGAAAGGCCAGCCUUCACCCUUCUAGAAUUCUAACCAUGUUGCCUGGAUUCAGGAUGAAAAAGGUGCUCUGGGGCAUCGAGCAAGUAGAUUUUUCAAAAAUAUAAAGAAAGAGGCAACUCUCUAAUGACCAUUAAGGAACACUGGGAAGUUGAUGGACACCCUUUCUGCCAUAUGUAUCAUCUAGAAGCUGACAAGAGAAGUCUUCUCAUGAAUCUGAGAAGAAAGCCCCAUUCUAACGUCCGAAGCUCUGUGGACAAAGGCCUGCUUGAAGAUCAUUGCCAAUUGUUACCCAGUAAUUGUGGUUUCUCCCUUUAUUUCUCAAGUCUUCACGAUCGUCUGAUGGUAUUUGAUUAUGAAUCAUGAGUCUGCUUGUUUUAAUCCCACCCGGCCUUUGCAAUCCAACUCAAAUUAGUGGUCUUGGAAAAUGAGAGGCAUUUAGCUGGGGAGAACGAAGAGCUGCUUUUGGGAGGUCAGAUUCCAACUAGUCCUCAAAUGCAAGGUUCCCCAACCUCUCAAUGCUGUUUGCAGUCAGUUGUGAAAGGAUGGCUUUGGGAUUGGCCUUGGGGGCAGUGAGAGCCAGACCAAUCCUUCCUGAGAAGGCUGCUCAGCCAGCCUUGGGAAGAGGACAGCCCCCAGACUUGUGGGCUGAAAGACCAUUUACUACCGGCGAGAUCUGGGUUCAAUCAACCUAUUUGGGCCUCUGAUUCCUCAUCUGAAAAAUAAUGUGUUUUGAAAAUUAAAUUAAAUAGUAUCUGAUAUAUCCAGUGCACAUGAGAAAUGUCCACUGGGAUCGCUAGCCAGAUGAUGACUCUACCAGGCCCAUUGAAAUGGACUUUCUGAAUCUCCCCUGAGAAUGCAAAAAUGAUGCUUUUAAUUUGGUCCUUAAGGCAUUAGGAUAAAUGACCUUCUAGUUUCACUUAAACAUCUCUGGCAAAUAAAGGACAAUCUAUGAAUGAGAGGUUUCAACUACGUCAUUAUCCCAAAGUGUAGUGUGCUAGUGGUUCAUGAAAAAUUUUCAGUGGUGCAGUUUAUUCGCUGAAUUUGACGACAUCCUUUGGUUUUCAUUGGAUUUAUCUUGAUAGUUACCUUCUGGUACGUAAUGCACAUGAAGUAUUUAGCUUGGCACAGAGUAGGUGCUCAACAAGUGGAGGCUAGUGCUAUUAGUGCUCUUUUCUCUAAUUGACACUGCUCCUCAUAGCGGGGUUGCCAUAUCAAAAACACUGCUGUUGUGCAUUGGGGACUGAGGAACCAAUUCCACCAGGUUGUGGGAGGGAGGGAAGAAUGCAGGCAACAAUGCACUCAAUCCAUACUUGUUCCCCCUAAUUUUCCAAGAUUUGACAAAAAGAAAACCAAUCACCUUCUCAUGAAAAGGUAAAUGUGGUGAAUUGUUAUGUCCGGAUUUCACAACAGGAGGCCCGCGGUGGCGACAGAUCUCCCAGACGAUAGCUGAGGCGAGCUGGCGGGGUUCUCCGCCCUUCGCUCUCUUCGGGGGAUCCAUGAGGUCUCAAAGGUCCAUUUCUGGGUCCUCACAGCUUACCUGCGCGUCCCAAACUGCUCAGUCCUCUGCAUUGUGUUUUCUUGUACUGUGUCACAUUAAUACAGUUAUUGGUUUCCUUCACAUCAUCACCAAAUUCACAGCCUCCUGUUGGAUGAUGUAGUCACUGUGUACUAUACAUUUUUAGCACAGAGUGAUGCCGUUUUCUUUGAUUUCUUGGACCCAGCAAAAGAUGGCUCAGUCAGAAAGAAUUUUCACCUUGCACAUCAUUGGACUAUGCUUCCGGCCUUUCCCCAACAGAAGAGAACAAUAGUGUCUUGGUUCCUAAACACUGACAUUUACUUGCAUCAUUCACUAUAAAACGAGGCUGGGCCCUGUGAAAUGGGUGGGCUGAUGUAACAGUCGUAGGACUAGCUUCUUCGCUGUGAGCCUACGCAGUGCUUGGUAAUCAGAGGAAGGGAGUUUGACUAAAAUAACUAGUCCAUCAAACUUUAAUUCUGAUUAUUUUUCUCUGUUGGUAAAUUCUGAGAUCCAGAAACCCCUGUGUAUGUACUUUCUUUUUUGAGAAAGCUAAGAGCUUGCAUUUAUGUAAAAAAGAGUGGACGAUCUCUCUCCUCUCCAUUUAUAUUUACAUUUCAAAACUUAUCUUCUGAUAUACAAAAACAUAUCUGGGGGAUUAAGGUGAAGACUCUUUAUUAUAUGGUAGCAAGAUCUUCUAGGAUGACUGAGCUUUCUUUAGUCUUUCUCAAUGUGGGAUCACCAACCUUUUUCAAAGGAGAGUCUACUUUUCUUAAGAUGUCAAUGGAGUAGAGAGAGCUCUGCAGGAAAUGAGGGAAUUGGGAGGGCUGGAGAUGUAUUAGUGAUUCUGGCUGCUGGGCAGAUGCAGUUGCUGUACCGUGCUGGCCCAUGGAGGAGUCUGAUUCCAAAACUUUAACCUUUUGGUCCAACUGUGGCCCAGCUGCAGAAGAAUGAGGACCAAAAUUUUCUAUGUGACAAAUUCUCUUUCUCUCAAGACCAUAUGAUUUUCAUUUUGUCUCCAAUAGAUCUGAUGAAAAAGAAUCCCUUAAAUAUCUUGACUGAAACUAUACUUCUUGUAAUGGAAAUGCUCCCUGGGUUGGCUCCUUGGAUCUUGAUCGUGGAGUCUUCAGUGGGCUCUCAGGAACUCCCAACACCCUCUUAUCUGCUUCCUUCACAGCUGCCUCUGUCUGACCCCAGACUGGGGGUAACUCUUGGACAGCGAACUCAGCUCUGGGGGCAAGGUCAGAUGCCAAUCUAGAACCCUUGACCCCAGAAAUCUCUGCCAUUUUUUUCUCUGGUUGUUUCUGAGUUUCUGCAGAGCUGAAAGGCUGCCAUUCAGAAUGACCAUGGGGACUAUAUCAGUCUCCUACACAAGCAUGUUAUGAAGCAAUGAAGGGCAUUGGAGUCUGCUCUUGGCUGAAGCUGAGGCAGUGGGAAAAGUCAGUACAUGGCCUCUGUCAUCUAAAGCUUGAGUUUGGUGUCACCUGUACCUGGGAGAGAAGAAAAGGAUCAGUGGAAGAGAGCAUCCCUAAUGUUUUACCUCUUGAGGAGGCCUCUGCAGUACUAACAACAUCAAGUGGACUUGUCAUCACAGGGAUUUAGAAUGGCAGAUGGCAGUCUGUGUGUGUGUGUGUGUGUGUGUGUGUGU
Molecule: long non-coding RNA, 3552 nt
Organism: Equus caballus (horse)
Lineage: Eukaryota; Metazoa; Chordata; Mammalia; Perissodactyla; Equidae
Source: Ensembl